CUUUCCGAAUCGACUGGACGUACACACUGACAGAAAUAUUUGCCACUGGUAUUUACUCAAACAACGAUUCACUCAUAAAUGCAUUACUGAAAAAGGGUGAGGUUAAUUGUUUGUUUGUUUAGUAUCUCAGAUCCGUUAAAAUUCAAUGAGAAAUAAUAAAAAAGAAACAUUACCCCCUCCCUUUGCCAAAUACCCAUUCGAGAAAAAAUACUAUUUGAAACAAACAGAAAAGAUAGAAAUGUAGUGAUCCUUAACAUCGCAAUUCUUUUUCUUCGUCUGGUCUGUAAGCAAACUGAUGCAGUCUUCGUUUUCAAUGCAUAAUCAACACAUCUUUAAACUACUUCAAGUCAUCCAAAAUGACUUUCUUAAAGGAGCAACCACUUUACUUUAAAAAAAAAAAAAAAAAAAGGGGGGGGGGGGAGUUUCUGAGUCAGAAUUUUUUCUCGCGCGAAAGUUUAUAUUUAGAUUUUUU
RNAcentral lists this long non-coding RNA (472 nucleotides) under Mytilus galloprovincialis (Mediterranean mussel). The record is from RNAcentral. Lineage: Eukaryota; Metazoa; Mollusca; Bivalvia; Mytilida; Mytilidae.